This 64-nucleotide transfer RNA is filed under the name Xylosandrus germanus. Its description in RNAcentral is "tRNA-Cys". Lineage: Eukaryota; Metazoa; Arthropoda; Insecta; Coleoptera; Curculionidae. The record is from RNAcentral.
AAUUAUAUAGUCAAUGUAUGACGCUGAAUUGCAAAUUCAGAGGAGAAUUAAAGUUCUGUAGUUU